RNAcentral lists this small RNA (28 nucleotides) under Bombyx mori (domestic silkworm). RNAcentral describes it as "ovarian small RNA-30862". The record is from RNAcentral. Lineage: Eukaryota; Metazoa; Arthropoda; Insecta; Lepidoptera; Bombycidae.
UGAACUUUUCCACUGCCCAGACGACUGC